ACAUAUACAUAUACGUAUACGUAUACGUAUACGUAUACGUGUGUGUGUGUGU
Molecule: microRNA precursor, 52 nt
Filed under: Podarcis lilfordi (Lilford's wall lizard)
Lineage: Eukaryota; Metazoa; Chordata; Lepidosauria; Squamata; Lacertidae
Source: RNAcentral